GACGAACGCUGGCGGCGUGCUUAACACACGCAAGUCGAACGGAAAGGCCCUGCUUUUGUGGGGUGCUCGAGUGGCGAACGGGUGAGUAACACGUGAGUAACCUGCCCUUGACUUUGGGAUAACUUCAGGAAACUGGGGCUAAUACCGGAUAGGAGCUCCUGCUGCAUGGUGGGGGUUGGAAAGUUUCGGCGGUUGGGGAUGGACUCGCGGCUUAUCAGCUUGUUGGUGGGGUAGUGGCUUACCAAGGCUUUGACGGGUAGCCGGCCUGAGAGGGUGACCGGCGACAGUGGGACUGAGAUACGGCCCAGACGCCUACGGGAGGCAGCAGUGGGGAAUAGUGCACAAUGGGCGGAAGCCUGAUGCAGCAACGCCGCGUGCGGGAUGACGGCCGUCGGGUUGUAAACCGCUUUCGCCUGUGACGAAGCGUGAGUGACGGUAAUGGGUAAAGAAGCACCGGCUAACUACGUG
RNAcentral lists this ribosomal RNA (468 nucleotides) under uncultured bacterium. Its description in RNAcentral is "partial 16S ribosomal RNA". It matches the Rfam family "Bacterial small subunit ribosomal RNA", at positions 28 to 507 of the family's 1533-position model. The record is from RNAcentral.